This 848-nucleotide ribosomal RNA is filed under the name uncultured bacterium. Its description in RNAcentral is "bacterial SSU rRNA". It matches the Rfam family "Bacterial small subunit ribosomal RNA", at positions 531 to 1378 of the family's 1533-position model. The record is from RNAcentral.
GGUGCAAGCGUUAAUCGGAAUUACUGGGCGUAAAGCGCACGCAGGCGGUUUGUUAAGUCAGAUGUGAAAUCCCCGGGCUCAACCUGGGAACUGCAUCUGAUACUGGCAAGCUUGAGUCUCGUAGAGGGGGGUAGAAUUCCAGGUGUAGCGGUGAAAUGCGUAGAGAUCUGGAGGAAUACCGGUGGCGAAGGCGGCCCCCUGGACGAAGACUGACGCUCAGGUGCGAAAGCGUGGGGAGCAAACAGGAUUAGAUACCCUGGUAGUCCACGCCGUAAACGAUGUCGACUUGGAGGUUGUGCCCUUGAGGCGUGGCUUCCGGAGCUAACGCGUUAAGUCGACCGCCUGGGGAGUACGGCCGCAAGGUUAAAACUCAAAUGAAUUGACGGGGGCCCGCACAAGCGGAGGAGCAUGUGGUUUAAUUCGAUGCAACGCGAAGAACCUUACCUGGUCUUGACAUCCACGGAAGUUUUCAGAGAUGAGAAUGUGCCUUCGGGAACCGUGAGACAGGUGCUGCAUGGCUGUCGUCAGCUCGUGUUGUGAAAUGUCGGGUUAAGUCCCGCAACGAGCGCAACCCUUAUCCUUUGUUGCCAGCGGUCCGGCCGGGAACUCAAAGGAGACUGCCAGUGAUAAACUGGAGGAAGGUGGGGAUGACGUCAAGUCAUCAUGGCCCUUUACGACCAGGGCUACACACGUGCUACAAUGGCGCAUACAAAGAGAAGCGACCUCGCGAGAGCAAGCGGACCUCAUAAAGUGCGUCGUAGUCCGGAUUGGAGUCUGCAACUCGACUCCAUGAAGUCGGAAUCGCUAGUAAUCGUGGAUCAGAAUGCCACGGUGAAUACGUUCCCGGG